RNAcentral lists this non-coding RNA (196 nucleotides) under Aquibium oceanicum. Lineage: Bacteria; Pseudomonadati; Pseudomonadota; Alphaproteobacteria; Hyphomicrobiales; Phyllobacteriaceae. The record is from RNAcentral. RNAcentral also lists the same sequence under 1 other name.
UAAGGUCGUCAUGUCGUCGGUUCCCCGCGAGGGGAUGUGAAAGGGAACGAGGUAGGGAUUUCCCGAUCCUCGGCUGCCCCCGCAACUGUGAGCGGCAAGCCUUCGCCCGAUAUGCCACUGAAGCCAAAAGCUUCGGGAAGGCGGGCAGGGGCAGUGACCCGCGAGCCAGGAGACCUGCCGCCGGCAUGAACGGGAA